RNAcentral lists this unclassified non-coding RNA (262 nucleotides) under plant metagenome. Its description in RNAcentral is "partial contains small subunit ribosomal RNA, internal transcribed spacer 1, and 5.8S ribosomal RNA". The record is from RNAcentral.
UCUCCGUUGGUGAACCAGUGGAGGGAUCAUUACCGAGUUUACAACUCCCAAACCCCUAUGUGAACGUUACCAAACUGUUGCCUCGGCGGGAAAUUCAUGCCCCGGGCGCGUCGCAGCCCCGGACCAAGGCGCCCGCCGGAGGACCAACCAAAACUCUUUUGUAUGUCCCUCGCGGACUUUUAUAAUUCUGAACCAUCUCGGCGCCCCUAGCGGGCGUUUCGAAAAUGAAUCAAAACUUUCAACAACGGAUCUCUUGGUUCUG